This 76-nucleotide transfer RNA is filed under the name Nitrospirota bacterium. Its description in RNAcentral is "tRNA-Thr". It matches the Rfam family "tRNA". From Rfam's summary of the family: Transfer RNA (tRNA) molecules are approximately 80 nucleotides in length. Their secondary structure includes four short double-helical elements and three loops (D, anti-codon, and T loops). Lineage: Bacteria; Pseudomonadati; Nitrospirota. The record is from RNAcentral.
GCCCUUGUAGCUCAGUCGGUAGAGCACUUCCUUGGUAAGGAAGAGGUCACCGGUUCGAUUCCGGUCAAGGGCUCCA